Molecule: ribosomal RNA, 470 nt
Filed under: uncultured bacterium
Lineage: Bacteria
Description: bacterial SSU rRNA
Rfam family: Bacterial small subunit ribosomal RNA
Source: RNAcentral
CGGGAGGCAGCAGUGAGGAAUAUUGGUCAAUGGUCGGGAGACUGAACCAGCCAAGCCGCGUGAGGGAUGAAGGUACAGAGUAUCGUAAACCUCUUUUGUCAGGGAACAAAGGCGGGGACGUGUCCCCGGAUGAGUGUACCUGAAGAAAAAGCAUCGGCUAACUCCGUGCCAGCAGCCGCGGUAAUACGGAGGAUGCGAGCGUUAUCCGGAUUUAUUGGGUUUAAAGGGUGCGCAGGCGGUCUGUUAAGUCAGCGGUCAAAGCCCGGGGCUCAACCCCGGCCCGCCGUUGAAACUGGCAGUCUCGAGUUGGAGAGAAGUAUGCGGAAUGCGCGGUGUAGCGGUGAAAUGCAUAGAUAUCGCGCAGAACUCCGAUUGCGAAGGCAGCAUGCCGGCUCCACACUGACGCUGAGGCACGAAAGCGUGGGUAUCGAACAGGAUUAGAUACCCUGGUAGUCCACGCAGUAAACGAU